CCUACGGGGGGCAGCAGUAGGGAAUCUUUCACAAUGGGCGAAAGCCUGAUGGAGCAACGCCGCGUGCAGGAUGAAGGCCUUCGGGUUGUAAACUUCUUUUAUACGCGAGAAAUAUGAUGGUACCUUAUGAAUAAUGGUCGGCUAACUACGUGCCAGCAGCCGCGGUCAUACGGAGGAUCCGAGCAUUAUCCGGAGUAACUGGGUGUAAAGAGUUGCGUAGGUGGCAUAAUAAGUAGCUAGUGAAAUUUGGUGGUUCAACCAUUCAGGCUAUUAGCUAAACUGUUAGGCUCGAGACCGUUAGGGGGAACUGGAAUUGCUAGUGUAGGAGUGAAAUGCAUAGAUAUUAGAAGGAACACCAGUAGCGUAGGCAGGUUGUUGGGACGGUUCUGACACUAAGGCACGAAAGCGUAGGGAGCAAACGGGAUUAGAUACCCGAGUAGUC
This 442-nucleotide ribosomal RNA is filed under the name uncultured bacterium. Its description in RNAcentral is "partial 16S ribosomal RNA". It matches the Rfam family "Bacterial small subunit ribosomal RNA", at positions 338 to 795 of the family's 1533-position model. The record is from RNAcentral.